Molecule: long non-coding RNA, 1104 nt
Filed under: Ananas comosus (pineapple)
Lineage: Eukaryota; Viridiplantae; Streptophyta; Magnoliopsida; Poales; Bromeliaceae
Description: long non-coding RNA (ACOM_LNC008672)
Source: RNAcentral
AGUUACAACCAACUCAUCUAAUGGGUGGGAGUGAAUCACUAGUCACAUUACAUGACUACUAAAAUCAUCUCAUCCAUUAAAUGAGUGGUAUAUAACUCAUUUUUCAAUAUUAGAGAAACAUAUGUAGAAUUUGGUUAUUUUGUAGUAUUAAUAGUAUCAAGCGUUUUCUGUUAUUGGGUUUCGGCCUUUGGAUAAAAAAAUACGCAAUUUGAAUGAUAAUGAUUUUCUAGGAUUGAGUGGGUGGUUAGUUGAAUAGUAUGAUAUGACGGGUGAAAAUUGUCAAAAGAAUAGAUUUGACGACGAAAAACCCGAUAGCACCAAGUCAUUGGUACUAGCGAUAGUAUAGCAGUCGAACUCAACAUAUGUAUAUUAGGGUUAAUUUCGUACAGGUCUCUAUAAAUAUAGUGAAUUGUAAAUAUAUUCUUACAAAAUUUAAUUUCCAUAUAUUGUCCCUGCAAAAGCCCUGAUGUUUUCAAAUAUAUCCCUGCCGUUAGGAUUCCUUAGAAAAAAUUAAUUAAUUAUAGGUAAAAUACUUAACCCUAGUUAGUUAAUGAGAUGAAUUGACCUUUUUACCCUUCUUUAAUUAAUAGUUGGAACUUUUGGAUGGACAUAUUUAUGAUGCCAAAAGGGUCAUUUCGCUUACAGCAUUUUAAUGAAAACAAACCAAAAUAACAUAUUUUAACACAUUAGGAAGUUUAGAGUGAUAACAUAUAAAAGUUGAAAUUUAUAGGGAUGUAUUUGUAAUUCACUAUAUUUGUAGAGACCUGUAUAAAAUUAACCUUAUAUAUUAUUAUAGAGAAAUAUUUUGCCAGGAUUAAAGGCUUACUUGUUAUUUUUCUAUUAAAACUUAGUUUAGUAUUAAGGUUUAUCUAGCAACGCUAUUGAAUAAAAUAGAGUUGGGGUAAAAACAUACAGUGAUAUGAUUCUGCGUUCUCCGAUGGGACUGCAAAAAAUAUAUCGUAACCGACUUAUCGCGAUAUGCGGAAUGCAAUAUUACAUACGGAAAACAAAUAUAAUAUUUUUUAUCGUACUUUCUCACCGCACGUAACGUAAUCUCCCCGCAAUUUCAAACGAAGUCUAAUUCUCUUGGUUACUAUAACUAUU